CGUGUAGGCGGUCUGUUAAGUCUGGCGUGAAAGCUCUCGGCUAAACCGGGAGAGGUCGUUGGAUACUGACGGACUAGAGGACGGUAGAGGCGUGUGGAAUUCCGGGUGUAGUGGUGAAAUGCGUAGAGAUCCGGAGGAACACCAGUGGCGAAGGCGACACGCUGGGCCGUACCUGACGCUAAAGCGCGACAGCAUGGGGAGCAAACG
RNAcentral lists this ribosomal RNA (207 nucleotides) under uncultured bacterium. RNAcentral describes it as "partial 16S ribosomal RNA". It matches the Rfam family "Bacterial small subunit ribosomal RNA", at positions 568 to 774 of the family's 1533-position model. The record is from RNAcentral.